Molecule: small RNA, 160 nt
Filed under: Drosophila erecta
Lineage: Eukaryota; Metazoa; Arthropoda; Insecta; Diptera; Drosophilidae
Description: GG27048
Source: RNAcentral
GUCAGUCGGCUAGGCCCACUAAAUGCUCACCGGGCGGCUCAAUGCAAUUGCUGCCAAUUAGAAUUAAUGUGUUUUUUAUGAAACCGGGCGAAAACAAGAGCUCAAAUUUCCAGACAUCGCUGACAGCACCAACCACCACCAACCAGUUUCAGCACCACCA